Long non-coding RNA from Anthonomus grandis grandis, 4347 nucleotides. RefSeq lists it as uncharacterized. The transcript is spliced from 2 exons. The record is from RefSeq and is a predicted model, not a curated record. Lineage: Eukaryota; Metazoa; Arthropoda; Insecta; Coleoptera; Curculionidae.
AUAAAAUUAUAGUAAGAAAACCCGCAGUUAAAAAUAAAAAUCGACGUGUCCGAGCGUUUUUUUUUUUUGAACAUACCCCUGAAUUUUAAAUGAAUUUAUUCCGGACUUUUGGCUCUCACUGUAUGUAUUCUCAUUUAAAACAAAACUCUUUUAAUGAUCUAUAAUAAUUCUAUCUCAAUUUAACAACAACAGAAGGUUAUAGGAGAAAUAUAUCCUUUGUCUAAUUCGUUGAGAUGCUUACUGUUUAGCGGCAGUGGAGCGUCUGGAGAACCCCAACUCUAGGUGACACUAGCUAGUCGUCAAAUAAAGGAAGAUAACAUGUUUGACAUAUGUAAAUAUUGAAAUGUGACAUUGUGUAAAUUGAUGUUGACUGAGAUGAUGCAAGGGAACGGAAGUUCCCGGUGAGUAUAUUUUAUAUUUGCCAAAAGACAGAACAGUAAAUAUUGUUUUUUUUUAUUAUUUUUAUGUGAUGUUCGAGUUUAUGUCUAACAAUAUGAGAAGGAUGACUGUUGAGUGAAUUUGCAUUGUAGAGACCCAUUGGCUAAGAACAACUCUGACAGUAUAAAACUAAGAUGAAAACUUGCGAGUGCCCAAGCUCAAAAACAUUAGCCAGAAUGCAUCACGAGGGCCCAAGCUCAAAAACAUAAGCCAGAAAGCAUCACGAGUGCCCAAGCUCAAAAACAUAAGCCAGAAAGCAUCACAAAUGCCCAAGCUUAAAAACAAAUCAAAAACAUUAGCCAGAAGGCAUCACAAGUGCCCAAGAUCAAUAUAGUUUUAACUGUAAACGCUAACACGGUCAUUUUCAAUUAAAACAAUGGUAUUUACCUUAUGUUCGUUAUCAUCAAAAACAUAGGUUUCGAGCAAAUCCGAACAGUCCUCAGGACUUUAAUCUUUGGGCCAAAGGCGCAUCUGAUAAGCAGCUGCUACCGUAACCUUGGUAGAGUCAGCUAAAUCACUAAUUUUUCUAAGUUCAUAUCGGCCUGGAGAUAAUAUGUUAGUCACUUUGUAAGGUCCAAUCCAAUCUGAUUCAAAUUUCCUUGACUUAAUGGUUUCUCUCGAAAUUAGUCCAUAAUCAUCAAUAUUAUAUACUUUUUGAGGUUUUGAACGGUUUCUUGACCGCUCAUCGUCUUUAAUAGUAUUUUCAUCAAGGCGUCUUUAAACGAAUUCUCUCUACUUCUCAUGCUGAACAGCAGAAGUAUAGAGUUUAUCUUCAGAAGCAUUUUCAAUUAUGCGCUGAAUUUCUGGUAAUCUGUUGUCACAUCCAAAAAAAGUUUGAAUGAACAGUGGUAUUUAUUAUAAGCUGAAUUCGGGAUACGAACGUACUCCAUUCAGACGUAACUUUAGCCUAAACGCGUAAAAGGUUUACUACAAAACGCAUAUAACGUUCCACUUGACCAUUCGCUAGAUGCACGUAGGAUGUAAUAAAAUGCCACUGAAUGUUCCAUCACUUCCAUCCGGGGAGAACUUCAUGAUUUGGGCUGCACGCAACAAAGUGCCAUUGUCGGUUAUUGUGCGGACUGGAGUACCCACAAGGUUUAUUAUAUCCAUGAGACAGUCGGCAAUUUCUUCGAAUUUAAGGCGCAUUCUUGGGAACAAAAAUGAGAAUUUAUGCUUAAUACAGUUUUAUCAAUACCAAUGCAAAUAACAAAAUAUUGCGUUACUGUUUCUGAAUUUAACUCGCUUAUAUGACAUAAUGUGUUUUCGAUUAUACAAUUUUUUUAAAAUCUAAUUCGUCGUUAGUUAGUUUAUCUUUCAUGUCCUGUGCUUCGCUGUCCAUACUUUGCUGAAUGGACAUCCAACCACUAGGCAAUAAGCUUAAAGAUUCUUUUUCAUCGUCUUCAGUUAAUCUUAUUUUAUUUUUCUUCAGUUCAAAAAUCCCUGAAUCAUCAUUAGCUUUAUUAUGGCGUAUAAGAGCAACCUAUGCUCCAGUAUCUAAUAAAACUUCUUGAAAAAUACCAUUAAUAUUUAGUGAAUACAAACAGAGUUUGUCAUUCAUUACCACUUUACUGACGCCACAAACGUUUACGUGUUUAGAAGUAUCGGGUUUCUGCUUAUUAUCGGCCCGAAUUCCCUUUAAACACUUAUCAAAUGAAUGACCGAUUUUUUACAACAAUUGCAUGAUAUUAUGCAAUCCAAUUAUGCAAUUAUUAUUUGCAUAAUAAUUGCAUAAUUGGUAACUUUAGAUGGACCCUUUCCCUUUUAAUCCCUCGAGACAUACAUUCUGCCCGACGAUGACCCAUCUUUCCGCAGUUAAACCAUUCAAUGUAAUUUUAAACGACCGUAUGAACCAAAAGACGGACAACCGUCAGAAUUAUAGGCCAAUGCAUUAGACAUUAAUUGACCAAAAUUUGCACUACCUGCAAAACUUUCGCACAAAUCUCUUUUUAAAUUUUCCCAAGAACACCUAUCUAAAGGAGACCAAUUUUUAAACCACUCAUGUGCUUCCCCUUCAAAACAAUUUCCAAUUGCAGCAAUAAGUACACCAGUACUCCAACCCAAGUUGGUAGCCAAUUCGGACACAUCAUUGACCCAUCUUUGCGGGUCAUCUCGUCCAGGUACAAAGUCCGGCAAACUAAUGCAAUCCCAAUAUGGCACAUUCACACGCGAAUCGGCACGCUCUAAAUAUCCGCGUUGCAAAUUCUCCAAAGUGGAGCCCACAUUUGCACUUCCUUCCGGCAUUUUUAAAUUAAUUGACACAAUAGUUUACGUAACGGAUAACAAGACACGUUUUCGGGUAAUCCCACUUCUGAUUUUAGAAUAUUAGACUUAAAUGAAAGUCUAAUAAAAAUUAAAAACACACUGUAUUUGUCACUGAAAAUGAGGAAUAUCAAAGGUGACCGUUUACACCAAGGCUCGUGGUGAUUCUGUUUUUUUGUCAACGAUCUCGAAUCCCGCUGACGCAAGACCCUAUCGAAUUACCACUUGGACUUGUCUGUGUUUAUAUAAUAAAUCCUAAGAUAAGGCGGCACUGUUGUGCCUAAUUCGAAUAACAUAGAACAUACAGACUCAUUUAUAAUAUAUUUUAACUGAACGCUAACACUCUUAUUAUAUAUAAACUGAUUAAAUAAUCUAAAUAUAGUGCUCUUGACGGAGCAUUUCUAUUAUUUUCUGCAAGCUUAAAAACCUUUAUGUUAUUUGCAUUUAUUGAUCACCGUUAUCCGUUCUGAAUAUUUUUUUUCUUAAGUUUGGAGAGUUGAUCAGCGUAAAUUUCUUGCUCGAAUCAAAUUAUACUGGCAGGAGACUUAGACAUCAACAACUACACUGACGACGACAACUGUGCUGCCAUAUUGCGCUCAAAAAAAUCUUUAUAAUUCAUUCAUUGGCAAUGCAUGUAAACUCGCCGACAGGAAUUUGCAAUGUUCGUCCAAUACUACAUAUAACUACUAUGUAUGUUCUAACCUUAAGAAUAAUAUUAUUAAAGGCACUGUGGAAAGCUCUAUUUAAUAUUGCUUUCCCAGUAGUUACGCUAAAACCAAAGGUUGAAAAAGUCAUCUAAAAAUCUGCGUUCACUAAUUAUAGUAAGAAAAUAUACAGAUUGUCCAGAAUUGUAUCCAUACUUACUUUUAUUCCUACCGCUCAUUAUUUCGCCGUCUAAGACUCUGAAAACAAGCCCAUUAUUCAAAUCGCAUGAAUAAUUUGUCAAAUAAAUAAAGCGAGUAAAUAUGCUAAAGCGAUAUCUUCAAGGCUGUAAUGCGGUGAAAUUAACAACUGAGGAACUUGGUGCAUCAGUUGGUAGAUCUGUUUAUUUUGCUUUGAUUGAAUCGCUUAUGAGGUAUGGUAUUUGUUUCUGGGAAAAUACUAGCCACUACCUUAUCCAGUCAAUUUAUGAAAGCUUCAUUAAAGAGCGUGUUCUUAGAACUUGUCACGAGUAUCUAAAUACUGGUGGUAAGUAAAAAAGACACCUCAACUAAACAACUUGCAUCUGCCUAUUCCUAUAUCUACGUUGAUCUAGAAAUAUAUCAUCUAUGGAGGCAUAAAGGUAUUUAAUCACCUACCAGUCAACAUUAAAAAGGCAAUGUCAAUGAAUAUAUUUAGACAGCAACUGCAUAUACUCUUAGUGGGAAGGCAUAUUAUUCUUUAUUGGAAUUUUCUGAAGAUUCAUUUUAAUCAUAUGUUUUUAUGUGUAUAUUAUCUAUUUAUUUUUAUGCCUCUCUACAUUUUGAUAUGUAAUGCUGAAUUUGAGGACACAAUUUUUAUUAAUAAUGUUUGUAUAUUCUCUUAUUUUGCAUACUUAUUUAUAGAGUGCUUUCUCUUUUUUUUUUAUUUAUAUAUAAAGUAGGUAUUUUUAAUAGCUUUGUGAUCAACAAUUUAUUGUUUUAAACAAAUAAAGCGCAUGUUGACUUUUGA